Molecule: small nucleolar RNA, 134 nt
Organism: Loxodonta africana (African savanna elephant)
Lineage: Eukaryota; Metazoa; Chordata; Mammalia; Proboscidea; Elephantidae
Gene: SNORA71
Rfam family: Small nucleolar RNA SNORA71
About the family: The members of this family belong to the H/ACA class of snoRNAs which bind a number of proteins (including dyskerin, Gar1p and Nop10p) to form snoRNP complexes. This class of snoRNAs are thought to guide the sites of modification of uridines to pseudouridines by forming direct base pairing interactions with substrate RNAs. This family includes U71 (SNORA71), ACA39 (SNORA39) and ACA60 (SNORA60).
Source: Ensembl
ACCUGCAUUUGGAGGUGAUCACGGGCUGCCCGUGCCCUGGUCAUUGAUAGUGCAGGGAGAGGAAUCGCUGAAAGACGUUGCCCCGUGUUUGGAGGGUCCACCCCGUUCCUUCCAAACCCUGGAGCUUUCACACA